This 253-nucleotide ribosomal RNA is filed under the name uncultured bacterium. RNAcentral describes it as "partial 16S ribosomal RNA". It matches the Rfam family "Bacterial small subunit ribosomal RNA", at positions 524 to 776 of the family's 1533-position model. The record is from RNAcentral.
UACAGAGGGGGCAAGCGUUGUUCGGAAUUACUGGGCGUAAAGGGCGCGUAGGCGGCCUGUUAAGUCGAACGUGAAAUCCCCGGGCUCAACCCGGGAACUGCGUCCGAUACUGGCAGGCUUGAAUUCGGGAGAGGGAUGCGGAAUUCCAGGUGUAGCGGUGAAAUGCGUAGAUAUCUGGAGGAACACCGGUGGCGAAGGCGGCAUCCUGGACCGAGAUUGACGCUGAGACCCGAAAGCAUGGGGAUCGAACAGG